This 630-nucleotide ribosomal RNA is filed under the name uncultured bacterium. RNAcentral describes it as "bacterial SSU rRNA". It matches the Rfam family "Archaeal small subunit ribosomal RNA", at positions 403 to 1033 of the family's 1478-position model. The record is from RNAcentral.
CCGGCUUUUGCCCGGUCUAAAAAGCCGGGAGAAUAAGCGGGGGGCAAGUCUGGUGUCAGCCGCCGCGGUAAUACCAGCUCCGCGAGUGGUCGGGGUGUUUACUGGGCUUAAAGCGCCCGUAGCCGGCCCGGCAAGUCGCUCCUGAAAUCCCCGGGCUCAACCCGGGGGCCGGGGGCGAUACUGCCGGGCUAGGGGGCGGGAGAGGCCGCCGGUACUCCGGGGGUAGGGGCGAAAUCCGUUAAUCCCCGGAGGACCACCAGUGGCGAAAGCGGGCGGCCAGAACGCGCCCGACGGUGAGGGGCGAAAGCCGGGGGAGCAAAGGGGAUUAGAUACCCCUGUAGUCCCGGCCGUAAACGAUGCGGGCUAGCUGUCGGUCGGGCUUAGGGCCCGGCCGGUGGCGAAGGGAAACCGUUAAGCCCGCCGCCUGGGGAGUACGGCCGCAAGGCUGAAACUUAAAGGAAUUGGCGGGGGGGCACCACAAGGGGUGAAGCUUGCGGCUUAAUUGGAGUCAACGCCGGAAACCUCACCCGGGGCGACAGCAGGAUGAAGGCCAGGCUAACGACCUUGCCGGACGAGCUGAGAGGAGGUGCAUGGCCGUCGUCAGCUCGUGCCGUGAGGUGUCCGGUUAAG